Molecule: long non-coding RNA, 353 nt
Filed under: Carica papaya (papaya)
Lineage: Eukaryota; Viridiplantae; Streptophyta; Magnoliopsida; Brassicales; Caricaceae
Description: long non-coding RNA (CPAP_LNC004124)
Source: RNAcentral
AUAAGGAUGAUUGACAAUGUUAGUGUAUUAGGAUGUUGAUUGUUCGAAUUGAGAAAAGAUGUUCAUCUGGUAAUUCAUCCUUUAAUGGUAAAGGCUCCUUGCUUAGAGGCGAGAGAUUGACAUGGUCAGCAACUCGAUUCUCCAUACCUUUUUUAUCUCAUAUUUUUAUAUCAAACAUCUAUAGAAAGAGUAUCCACUAGAUUAACCUUGGUUUUGUCUUUUUCUAUUUCAGUAAGUACUUCAAUACUACAUGGUCCGAGAACAUAAAUGACCUUAGUACCUAGCAAGUAGGAAUGACAUUUGUCCAAGGCAAAAAUGACAGCCAAUAAUUCUUUUUUUGUGGUUGAGUAAUU